RNAcentral lists this ribosomal RNA (289 nucleotides) under uncultured Solirubrobacterales bacterium. RNAcentral's name for it is "partial 16S ribosomal RNA". The record is from RNAcentral. Lineage: Bacteria; Bacillati; Actinomycetota; Thermoleophilia; Solirubrobacterales.
CUACUGGGGUAUCUAAUCCUGUUUGCUCCCCACGCUUUCGCGUCUCAGCGUCAGUAACGUCCCAGCGAGCUGCCUUCGCAAUUGGUGUUCCUCCCGAUAUCUGCGCAUUUCACCGCUACACCGGGAAUUCCACUCGCCUCUUCCGCACUCUAGUUCAGCAGUAUCCACCGGCAUCCCAGGGUUGAGCCCUGGACUUUCACAGCAGACUUACUGAACCGCCUACACGCGCUUUACGCCCAAUGAUUCCGGACAACGCUCGCCCCCUACGUAUUACCGCGGCUGCUGGCAC